UGCAGCCUUGUCAAAUUUGGUGCUCACCUGUUGAGUGGGGAGGACCAGCCCUAUGGCUGCCACAUAAAACUGUAGUUCAUGGGCCCCAGGUCUUUGUUGUUUGAUCUGGGGAUAAAAGCAUGCUACAGAUAAGC
Molecule: small nucleolar RNA, 134 nt
Organism: Sceloporus undulatus (fence lizard)
Lineage: Eukaryota; Metazoa; Chordata; Lepidosauria; Squamata; Phrynosomatidae
Product: small nucleolar RNA SNORA5
Exons: 1
Source: RefSeq, a predicted model, not a curated record